UGGCGGACGGGUGAGUAACGCGUGGAUAACCUGCCUUUCACAGGGGGGAUAACAGCUGGAAACGGCUGCUAAUACCGCAUGAGCCUCUUUUGUCGCAUGACGGGAGAGGGAAAGAGAAAUCGGUGAGAGAUGGAUCCGCGUCCGAUUAGCUAGUUGGAGGGGUAACAGCCCACCAAGGCGACGAUCGGUAGCCGACCUGAGAGGGUGGACGGCCACAUUGGGACUGAGACACGGCCCAAACUCCUACGGAAGGCAGCAG
Molecule: ribosomal RNA, 259 nt
Filed under: uncultured bacterium
Lineage: Bacteria
Description: partial 16S ribosomal RNA
Rfam family: Bacterial small subunit ribosomal RNA
Source: RNAcentral